RNAcentral lists this ribosomal RNA (667 nucleotides) under uncultured bacterium. RNAcentral's name for it is "bacterial SSU rRNA". It matches the Rfam family "Bacterial small subunit ribosomal RNA", at positions 186 to 856 of the family's 1533-position model. The record is from RNAcentral.
UCGCAUGGACUUAUGAUGAAAGAUUCAUCAGUAUACGAUGGGANUGCGUUCCAUUAGACAGUUGGUGAGGUAACGGCUCACCAAAUCUACGAUGGAUAGGGGUUCUGAGAGGAAGGUCCCCCACAUUGGAACUGAGACACGGUCCAAACUCCUACGGGAGGCAGCAGUGAGGAAUAUUGGUCAAUGGGCGAGAGCCUGAACCAGCCAAGUAGCGUGCGGGACGAAGGCCCUAUGGGUUGUAAACCGCUUUUACGGGGGGAUAAAGUGAGUGACGUGUCAUUCAUUGCAGGUACCCCGCGAAUAAGGACCGGCUAAUUCCGUGCCAGCAGCCGCGGUAAUACGGAAGGUCCGGGCGUUAUCCGGAUUUAUUGGGUUUAAAGGGAGCACAGGCCGGCUGUCAAGCGUGUUGUGAAAUGUAGGCGCUCAACGCCUGACUUGCAGCGCGAACUGACGGUCUUGAGUGCGCGCAACGUUGGCGGAAUUUGUCGUGUAGCGGUGAAAUGCUUAGAUAUGACGAAGAACUCCGAUUGCGAAGGCAGCUGACGGGAGCGUUACUGACGCUUAAGCUCGAAAGCGCGGGUAUCGAACAGGAUUAGAUACCCUGGUAGUCCGCGCGGUAAACGAUGGAUGCCCGCUGUUUGCGUCUAACGUAAGCGGCCAAGGAAAA